RNAcentral lists this long non-coding RNA (616 nucleotides) under Marmota monax (woodchuck). The record is from RNAcentral. Lineage: Eukaryota; Metazoa; Chordata; Mammalia; Rodentia; Sciuridae.
GUAUAAUCCAAUUGCAAUGGUGCCAACCUAAGACAGGAGGCUGACGCCUAGAGGUCAGCUCAUCCAAUGACGGGUAAGGACCAUAUGUUGUAUUGGACAACCUAAAAGGCACAGUCCCUAAGCCACAUUGCUUGUUUUUUAAUUAAACAGAAGGGGGGGGAUUCUGAGAGCCAUAGCCAAGUAGGAAUGACGCAUGCCAUUUUUGGUUGGAAGGUGACCCCAGCAAGCCAUUGAGAUGAUAAUGAUUAUGUUAAAAUGCACAUUCAAUUGGAGGAUUAGACCCCUGCUGUCUGCCUAGGCCUGCUACUUUGGAGCUCUCGCGGGACUCCAGGAGAGUUCCCAUUGGUUGGGGAAGUGCGGUAGGAGGGAAUUCCGGAGGAGGGAUUUCCUGUUGGAGUAGUGUGUCCUGGGAGGAGCCAUGUGGCCUGGUUUGGCAUUUUUUCCCAGGAGCGUAUGUGGAGUGUGCUGGUGGAGUUCAGAAAUAAAGUUUGUUCCUGCUUCAGUGGCUAGUGAUUUCUGCCCAGCCAGACUGCAGCAAAGGCUAUAAAUAUUUAUGUUAUAAUAUUAGAUACAAGCUUUACCUAUUAGGUAUGACUAUAAAUGAAUAAUGUGUGAU